CCGGUUGAUCCUGCCGGAGGCUACCGCUAUUGGAGUUCGAUUAAGCCAUGCGAGUCGCGAGUCUUAGGGACUCGGCGUACCGCUCAGUAACACGUGGGUAACCUGCCCUAUGCUGGGGGAUAACCUCGGGAAACUGAGAAUAAUACCCCAUAGUUCACCACGCCUGGAACGGUGGGUGGACCAAAGCUCCGGCGGCAUAGGAUGGGCCUGCGGCGUAUCAGGUUGUAGGGGGUGUAAUGUACCCUCUAGCCCUCUACGCGUACGGGUGUUGAGAGACAUCGCCCGGAGAUGGAUUCUGAGACACGAAUCCAGACCCUACGGGGUGCAGCAGGCGCGAAAACUUGGCAAUGCGAGAAAUCGUGACCAGGGAACUCCAAGUGCAUCGGGUAAGACCGAUGCUUUUCUUGACUCUUCAAAGGUCUUGGAAUAAGGGGUGGGUAAGGACGGUGCCAGCCGCCGCGGUAAUACCGGCGCCCCAAGUGGUAGUCGCUUUUAUUGGGCCUAAAACGUCCGUAGCCGGUCUGGUACAUUCGUGGGUAAAUCAACCAGCUCAACUGGUUGAAUUCUGCGAGCACGGCCAGACUUGGGACCGGGAGAGGUGUGGGGUACUCUCAGGGUAGGGGUAAAAUCCUGUCAUCCUGAGAGGACCACCUGUUGCGAAGGCGCCACACUAGAACGGAUCCGACGGUCAGGGACGAAGCCUAGGGGCACGAACCGGAUUAGAUACCCGGGUAGUCCUAGGUGUAAACGCUGUGGACUUGAUGUUGGGGGCGCUCCGAGCGCACUCAGUGUCGAAGCGAAGGUGAUAAGUCCACUGCCUGGGGAGUACGGUCGCAAGGCUGAAACUUAAAGGAAUUGGCGGGGGAGCACCGCAACCUGAGGAUUGUGCGGUUUAAUUGGAUCAACGCCGGG
RNAcentral lists this ribosomal RNA (912 nucleotides) under uncultured archaeon. Its description in RNAcentral is "bacterial SSU rRNA". It matches the Rfam family "Archaeal small subunit ribosomal RNA", at positions 4 to 922 of the family's 1478-position model. The record is from RNAcentral.